UAAGGAAUAUUGGACAAUGGGCGCAAGCCUGAUCCAGCCAUGCCGCGUGAAGGAUUAAGGUCCUCUGGAUUGUAAACUUCUUUUAUAAGGGACGAAAAAAGGGAAUUCUUUCUCACUUGACGGUACCUUAUGAAUAAGCACCGGCUAACUCCGUGCCAGCAGCCGCGGUAAUACGGAGGGUGCAAGCGUUAUCCGGAUUCACUGGGUUUAAAGGGUGCGUAGGCGGGUAUUUAAGUCAGUGGUGAAAUCCUAGAGCUUAACUCUAGAACUGCCAUUGAUACUAUUUAUCUUGAAUAUUGUGGAGGUAAGCGGAAUAUGUCAUGUAACGGUGAAAUGCUUAGAUAUGACAUAGAACACCUAUUGCGAAGGCAGCUUACUACGCAUAUAUUGACGCUGAGGCACGAAAGCGUGGGGAUCAAACAGG
Molecule: ribosomal RNA, 424 nt
Filed under: Bacillota bacterium
Lineage: Bacteria; Bacillati; Bacillota
Description: Firmicutes bacterium partial 16S ribosomal RNA
Rfam family: Bacterial small subunit ribosomal RNA
Source: RNAcentral